AUUUAAAUAAGUUCUCAGGAAAAGCACAUCAUCUCUCAGGACUUCAGAAUUUCAGUCUCUGACUCUUGAGUCUUAUCUUGGAUAUCAGGUAUCAUUCAUGCUCUAAUACCGGGGUCACAUCAUCUACACCAUUCUCAAGCCAGGAACCUGGCUCAUUUUCCUGCACUCUGGACUCAGCCAAAUAUGAAGAUCCUUGUCUUUGCCUUUAUCAUGGCUCUCAUGGUUGCCAUGAUCGGAGCUGAUUCAUCUGAAGAGAAACAUAGAUUGUAUCCUGCAUCGCUUAGAUGGUAUUUCAAUCGGCCACGUCAAUAUCCUUGGAUGCUUCCAGGUCCUUAUCCAGCUCCUUUCAAUGCUGCUUGGUAAUCCCAGGAUAUGAUUCCAGAGGCUUGGUGGAAAGUCCUAUUUGCUGUCUUUCAUGAUGAUUCUUCCUAUUCAAAAGUCCUUUACCCACCUAGCAAAAUUUUGUAGCCCGGGUAUAAUGAAUACACCCAAAGUACUUUUAAAAUCAUGUGAAAAGUAAUUAAAACACUCAGUUUUACUUUUA
Long non-coding RNA from Prionailurus viverrinus (fishing cat), 544 nucleotides. RefSeq lists it as uncharacterized. The record is from RefSeq and is a predicted model, not a curated record. NCBI's taxonomy places the organism in Eukaryota, Metazoa, Chordata, Mammalia, Carnivora, Felidae. The transcript has 7 exons.